This 253-nucleotide ribosomal RNA is filed under the name uncultured bacterium. RNAcentral describes it as "partial 16S ribosomal RNA". It matches the Rfam family "Bacterial small subunit ribosomal RNA", at positions 524 to 776 of the family's 1533-position model. The record is from RNAcentral.
UACGUAGGGUGCAAGCGUUAAUCGGAAUUACUGGGCGUAAAGCGUGCGCAGGCGGUUCGCUAAGACCGAUGUGAAAUCCCCAGGCUUAACCUGGGAACUGCAUUGGUGACUGGCGGGCUAGAGUAUGGCAGAGGGGGGUAGAAUUCCACGUGUAGCAGUGAAAUGCGUAGAGAUGUGGAGGAAUACCGAUGGCGAAGGCAGCCCCCUGGGCCAAUACUGACGCUCAUGCACGAAAGCGUGGGGAGCAAACAGG